RNAcentral lists this ribosomal RNA (864 nucleotides) under uncultured bacterium. RNAcentral's name for it is "bacterial SSU rRNA". It matches the Rfam family "Bacterial small subunit ribosomal RNA", at positions 58 to 916 of the family's 1533-position model. The record is from RNAcentral.
CAAGUCGAACGAUGAACCUUAGCUUGCUAGGGGGAUUAGUGGCGAACGGGUGAGUAAUAUAUCGGAACGUACCUUGUAAUGGGGGAUAACUAGUCGAAAGAUUAGCUAAUACCGCAUACGCCCUGAGGGGGAAAGUAGGGGAUCUUCGGACCUUACGUUAUAAGAGCGGCCGAUAUCUGAUUAGCUAGUUGGUGGGGUAAUGGCCUACCAAGGCUUCGAUCAGUAGCUGGUCUGAGAGGACGACCAGCCACACUGGAACUGAGACACGGUCCAGACUCCUACGGGAGGCAGCAGUGGGGAAUUUUGGACAAUGGGCGCAAGCCUGAUCCAGCCAUUCCGCGUGAGUGAAGAAGGCCUUCGGGUUGUAAAGCUCUUUCGCAAGGGAAGAAAACUUACAUUCUAAUAAAGUGUGAGGCUGACGGUACCUUGAUAAGAAGCACCGGCUAACUACGUGCCAGCAGCCGCGGUAAUACGUAGGGUGCGAGCGUUAAUCGGAAUUACUGGGCGUAAAGCGUGCGCAGGCGGUUUGGCAAGUCAGAUGUGAAAUCCCCGAGCUCAACUUGGGAACUGCGUUUGAAACUGCCAGACUAGAAUAUGUCAGAGGGGGGUAGAAUUCCACGUGUAGCAGUGAAAUGCGUAGAGAUGUGGAGGAAUACCAAUGGCGAAGGCAGCCCCCUGGGAUAAUAUUGACGCUCAUGCACGAAAGCGUGGGGAGCAAACAGGAUUAGAUACCCUGGUAGUCCACGCCCUAAACGAUGUCUACUAGUUGUUGGUGGAGUAAAAUCCAUGAGUAACGCAGCUAACGCGUGAAGUAGACCGCCUGGGGAGUACGGUCGCAAGAUUAAAACUCAAAGGAAUUGACGG